This 172-nucleotide ribosomal RNA is filed under the name uncultured bacterium. RNAcentral's name for it is "partial 16S ribosomal RNA". It matches the Rfam family "Bacterial small subunit ribosomal RNA", at positions 1321 to 1500 of the family's 1533-position model. The record is from RNAcentral.
UGAAGCUGGAUUCGCUAGUAAUCGCGCAUCAGCCAUGGCGCGGUGAAUACGUUCCCGGGCCUUGUACACACCGCCCGUCAAGCCAUGAAAGCCGGGGGUACCUGAAGUACGUAACCGCAAGGAUCGUCCUAGGGUAAAACUGGUAAUUGGGGCUAAGUCGUAACAAGGUAAC